GCAGGCCUACCAUGCAAGUCGAAGGAGAAGCCGGACUUCGGUCCGGUGGAAACUGGCGCACGGGUGAGUAACGCGUGGGUAUCUACCUUGGGGUGGGGAAUAACCGCUGGAAACGGCGGCUAAUACCGCAUACGCCUUUAGAGGGAAAGCUCCGGCGCCCUAAGAGGAGCCCGCGUUGGAUUAGCUUGUUGGUGGGGUAACGGCUCACCAAGGCUACGAUCUAUAGCUGGUCUGAGAGGAUGAUCAGCCACACUGGGACUGAGACACGGCCCAGACUCCUACGGGAGGCAGCAGUGGGGAAUAUUGGACAAUGGGCGCAAGCCUGAUCCAGCCAUGCCGCGUGAGUGAAGAAGGCCUUAGGGUUGUAAAGCUCUUUCACCUGCGAAGAUGAUGACGGUAGCAGGAGAAGAAGCCCCGGCUAACUCCGUGCCAGCAGCCGCGGUAAUACGGAGGGGGCUAGCGUUGUUCGGAUUUACUGGGCGUAAAGGGCGCGUAGGCGGUAUGCCAAGUCAGGGGUGAAAGGCCUGGGCUCAACCCAGGAACUGCCUUUGAAACUGGCAAACUAGAGUCCGAUAGAGGAUGGCGGAAUUCCCAGUGUAGAGGUGAAAUUCGUAGAUAUUGGGAA
This 625-nucleotide ribosomal RNA is filed under the name uncultured Alphaproteobacteria bacterium. RNAcentral's name for it is "bacterial SSU rRNA". It matches the Rfam family "Bacterial small subunit ribosomal RNA", at positions 42 to 703 of the family's 1533-position model. The record is from RNAcentral. Lineage: Bacteria; Pseudomonadati; Pseudomonadota; Alphaproteobacteria.